GGUUAAGCGACUAAGCGUACACGGUGGAUGCCCUGGCAGUCAGAGGCGAUGAAGGGCGUGCUAAUCUGCGAUAAGCGCCGGUAAGGUGAUAUGAACCGUUAUAACCGGCGAUACCCGAAUGGGGAAACCCAGUGUGACUCGUCACACUAUCAUUAACUGAAUCCAUAGGUUAAUGAGGCGAACCGGGGGAACUGAAACAUCUAAGUACCCCGAGGAAAAGAAAUCAACCGAGAUUCCCCCAGUAGCGGCGAGCGAACGGGGAGGAGCCCAGAGCCUGAAUCAGCAUGUGUGUUAGUGGAAGCGUCUGGAAAGGCGCGCGAUACAGGGUGACAGCCCCGUACACAAAAGCGCAUGUGCUGUGAGCUCGAUGAGUAGGGCGGGACACGUGGUAUCCUGUCUGAAUAUGGGGGGACCAUCCUCCAAGGCUAAAUACUCCUGACUGACCGAUAGUGAACCAGUACCGUGAGGGAAAGGCGAAAAGAACCCCGGCGAGGGGAGUGAAAAAGAACCUGAAACCGUGUACGUACAAGCAGUGGGAGCACGUUUACCUGUGUGACUGCGUACCUUUUGUAUAAUGGGUCAGCGACUUAUAUUCUGUAGCAAGGUUAACCGAAUAGGGGAGCCGGAGGGAAACCGAGUCUUAAUUGGGCGUUAAGUUGCAGGGUAUAGACCCGAAACCCGGUGAUCUAGCCAUGGGCAGGUUGAAGGUUGGGUAACACUAACUGGAGGACCGAACCGACUAAUGUUGAAAAAUUAGCGGAUGACCUGUGGCUGGGGGUGAAAGGCCAAUCAAACCGGGAGAUAGCUGGUUCUCCCCGAAAGCUAUUUAGGUAGCGCCUCGUGAAUUCAUCUCCGGGGGUAGAGCACUGUUUCGGCUAGGGGGCCAUCCCGGCUUACCAACCCGAUGCAAACUGCGAAUACCGGAGAAUGUUAUCACGGGAGACACACGGCGGGUGCUAACGUCCGUCGUGAAGAGGGAAACAACCCAGACCGCCAGCUAAGGUCCCAAAGUCAUGGUUAAGUGGGAAACGAUGUGGGAAGGCCCAGACAGCCAGGAUGUUGGCUUAGAAGCAGCCAUCAUUUAAAGAAAGCGUAAUAGCUCACUGGUCGAGUCGGCCUGCGCGGAAGAUGUAACGGGGCUAAACCAUGCACCGAAGCUGCGGCAGCGAACGUAUCACCCAAGACAACUUUGCGGAGUUGACGAUUGACGGAGCGAAGCGACGUCAAAGCGUUCAUUAAAGUCGAGUUGGCUUAGGGAUACGUUCGUUGGGUAGGGGAGCGUUCUGUAAGCCAGUGAAGGUGUGUCGUGAGGGUUGCUGGAGGUAUCAGAAGUGCGAAUGCUGACAUAAGUAACGAUAAAGCGGGUGAAAAGCCCGCUCGCCGGAAGACCAAGGGUUCCUGUCCAACGUUAAUCGGGGCAGGGUGAGUCGACCCCUAAGGCGAGGCCGAAAGGCGUAGUCGAUGGGAAACGGGUUAAUAUUCCCGUACUUGGUGUUACUGCGAAGGGGGGACGGAGAAGGCUAUGUUGGCCGGGCGACGGUUGUCCCGGUUUAAGCGUGUAGGUGUGUGUUCCAGGUAAAUCCGGUUCACUUUAACACUGAGGCGUGAUGACGAGGCACUACGGUGCUGAAGCAACAAAUGCCCUGCUUCCAGGAAAAGCCUCUAAGCAUCAGGUAACAUCAAAUCGUACCCCAAACCGACACAGGUGGUCAGGUAGAGAAUACCAAGGCGCUUGAGAGAACUCGGGUGAAGGAACUAGGCAAAAUGGUGCCGUAACUUCGGGAGAAGGCACGCUGACACGUAGGUGAAGUGAUUUACUCAUGGAGCUGAAGUCAGUCGAAGAUACCAGCUGGCUGCAACUGUUUAUUAAAAACACAGCACUGUGCAAACACGAAAGUGGACGUAUACGGUGUGACGCCUGCCCGGUGCCGGAAGGUUAAUUGAUGGGGUCAGCGCAAGCGAAGCUCCUGAUCGAAGCCCCGGUAAACGGCGGCCGUAACUAUAACGGUCCUAAGGUAGCGAAAUUCCUUGUCGGGUAAGUUCCGACCUGCACGAAUGGCGUAAUGAUGGCCAGGCUGUCUCCACCCGAGACUCAGUGAAAUUGAACUCGCUGUGAAGAUGCAGUGUACCCGCGGCAAGACGGAAAGACCCCGUGAACCUUUACUAUAGCUUGACACUGAACAUUGAGCCUUGAUGUGUAGGAUAGGUGGGAGGCUUUGAAGUGUGGACGCCAGUCUGCAUGGAGCCGGCCUUGAAAUACCACCCUUUAAUGUUUGAUGUUCUAACGUGGACCCGUAAUCCGGGUUGCGGACAGUGUCUGGUGGGUAGUUUGACUGGGGCGGUCUCCUCCUAAAGAGUAACGGAGGAGCACGAAGGUUGGCUAAUCCUGGUCGGACAUCAGGAGGUUAGUGCAAUGGCAUAAGCCAGCUUGACUGCGAGCGUGACGGCGCGAGCAGGUGCGAAAGCAGGUCAUAGUGAUCCGGUGGUUCUGAAUGGAAGGGCCAUCGCUCAACGGAUAAAAGGUACUCCGGGGAUAACAGGCUGAUACCGCCCAAGAGUUCAUAUCGACGGCGGUGUUUGGCACCUCGAUGUCGGCUCAUCACAUCCUGGGGCUGAAGUAGGUCCCAAGGGUAUGGCUGUUCGCCAUUUAAAGUGGUACGCGAGCUGGGUUUAGAACGUCGUGAGACAGUUCGGUCCCUAUCUGCCGUGGGCGCUGGAGAACUGAGGGGGGCUGCUCCUAGUACGAGAGGACCGGAGUGGACGCAUCACUGGUGUUCGGGUUGUCAUGCCAAUGGCACUGCCCGGUAGCUAAAUGCGGAAGAGAUAAGUGCUGAAAGCAUCUAAGCACGAAACUUGCCCCGAGAUGAGUUCUCCCUGAGACUUAGAGUCUCCUGAAGGAACGUUGAAGACGACGACGUUGAUAGGCCGGGUGUGUAAGCGCAGCGAUGCGUUGAGCUAACCGGUACUAAUGAACCGUGAGGCUUAACCUU
This 2990-nucleotide ribosomal RNA is filed under the name Salmonella enterica subsp. enterica serovar Montevideo. RNAcentral's name for it is "23S ribosomal RNA". It matches the Rfam family "Bacterial large subunit ribosomal RNA". The record is from RNAcentral. Lineage: Bacteria; Pseudomonadati; Pseudomonadota; Gammaproteobacteria; Enterobacterales; Enterobacteriaceae.